This 87-nucleotide small RNA is filed under the name Arabidopsis thaliana (thale cress). Its description in RNAcentral is "ATSL157620". Lineage: Eukaryota; Viridiplantae; Streptophyta; Magnoliopsida; Brassicales; Brassicaceae. The record is from RNAcentral.
AGAGAGAGAGAGAGAGAGAGAGAGAGAGUGAGAGAGAGAGAGAGAGUUUAAGUUGUAGUGUUUUUGCUUGUAUAAUGGAAUGUAUAU